Molecule: long non-coding RNA, 218 nt
Filed under: Elaeis guineensis (African oil palm)
Lineage: Eukaryota; Viridiplantae; Streptophyta; Magnoliopsida; Arecales; Arecaceae
Description: long non-coding RNA (EGUI_LNC052765)
Source: RNAcentral
CUAAUAAUUUAGAAAAUUUGAUUUCAUUGACCUAAGAAUAAGAAAAAAAGUUGACCUACAAGCUGCAAAUCCUCCCAUUGACUUCAUCAAGUCAUGUAGAGGAUUAGAUACAAGCUGGUCUAAAGACACCUAAAUCAGUCACACUGAUUAACCUUGAUAGCAUGGGUCAGCACAAAUCAACUAGUGACAUAAUCAAAAUAUAAUCUAUCAUGUUGGCC